GGGAGGAGUAUUUGACAAUGGGCGAAAGCCUGAUCGAGCAACGCCGCGUGGAGGAUGAAGGUUUUCGGACUGUAAACUUUUUUUUAGGGAGACGAGACAAGGACGGUAUCCCUAGAAUAAGCCACGGCUAACUACGUGCCAGCAGCCGCGGUAAGACGUAGGUGGCGAGCGUUAUCCGGAUUUACUGGGCGUAAAGCGUUUGUAGGUGGCUUAGUAAGUUGGGCGUGAAAUCUCCGGGCUUAACUCGGAGAGGCCGUCCAAUACUGUUAGGCUGGAGGAUAUUUGGGGAAAGCGGAAUUCCUGGUGUAGUAGUGAAAUGCGUAGAUAUCAGGAGGAACACCCGUGGCGAAGGCGGCUUUCUAAGAUAUUCCUGACACUGAGAAACGACAGCUAGGGGAGCAAACAGGAUUAGAAACCCUGGUAGUCCUAGCCGUAAACGAUGGAUGCUAGGUGUUGGAGGACUUAACCCCUCCUGUGCCGAAGCUAACGCGUUAAGCAUCCCGCCUGGAA
RNAcentral lists this ribosomal RNA (510 nucleotides) under uncultured bacterium. RNAcentral describes it as "bacterial SSU rRNA". It matches the Rfam family "Bacterial small subunit ribosomal RNA", at positions 354 to 878 of the family's 1533-position model. The record is from RNAcentral.